GAUUAGGUAAUGGCCUACCCAAGCCAGGCAUUCCUUUGCUCCUUCGAUAGCAAAACAAGGACCCCUUCCCUCAGGAGUGUAGCAAUAAACAGCGUCUGCCCGUCCCACAACCAACAUUGAAUCAUUUAUUUCGCCACCUCCAGCCUUGCACAUUAUACUGCGGUAAUUAAGAUUACCUUUAUCAUUAUCAAGUACAAAUUUUGUAUCCAUUAUGCAUUUCUCUUUUAACAUAAAACAAUAAACUCCUUGAACACAUGUCACAAACAUUAUUUGAGUUGUAUCUAAAGGUUGUGUUUUGAAAUCAAAAUGUAUUCCAUUGACUGCGUUUCCAGAAACAGUAUGUUGGCGAAUAUUUGCAGAAAAAUUUUUUGUGAUUUUUCCAUAAUGCAAAAGAAUAUCACCAUUUCCCAAUCCUAUCGCCAACGCAAACAAUUUAUCGUCAAUGACGUCUGCGUUGAGGCAUAAGGGCGUACUUGAAGGCUGAGUAUAUGCAGAUGCAAUUAUUGGAGCUGCUUGCUUUUUUGUUAAUCUAUUAAGGUCAAAUAUAUCAAUGUGAAUACCAUUAUUGAUAUCCGGUGUGACAGUCGCAAGGCUGUUAUUGCUGGUAAGGGAACAAAGAGCAAUAGCUUUCCGCGUGGAUGGAGAUUUGAAGGUAAUACACUCCCAAUUUGAAAGUGCUUGAUUUUGAUUCGGGAAAGCAGUAGCACGAUAUUUCUGCCGUGUUCGGAAUUUUUACAAAUGUGGAACAUGUGUGACGUUACGGGUUGGCCAACAAAAUGAAACAGUGCAAUAUGAAAAUAUAAAGUAGUUUUUAUAAGCAAAUUACACUAAGCACAUCCAAUUGUUAUGAUUUUAAUCUUAGAUGUGGAUAUAUAAUAUAAUUAUUAAAAUAAGCUAUGUAGUAAUUAAUCUUUAAGAAAUUAUUGAAAAAAACGAAGCUCGGAUUUCUGACACUGU
Non-coding RNA from Drosophila melanogaster (fruit fly), 957 nucleotides. The record is from Ensembl. NCBI's taxonomy places the organism in Eukaryota, Metazoa, Arthropoda, Insecta, Diptera, Drosophilidae.